CUCCAAGAAAAUCCAAAACUUCUCCCUAAUCUAUUUUUACAGACAUUAACUAAGACUAGAGAGAGAAAGUACAAAAGAAGAUGAAAAACUAAACUAUUUUAUCCUAAGCUAUAUUAUGAUGUAUAAUGUCUGAUAUAUUUCUCUACAGAGGCUUUCCUCUCUUCUUAUAUCAUUUCCCUCCUUUGCUAGGUCAAAAUCAAGCCUUCUCUGACUGGGCACCAGAGCUCGCGCUGCGGCGCGGGUAAUAGACCUAUGGGUGGCACUGCGGCACCACGUCAGCUUGGAUAACACCAGAGCUCGCGCUGCAGCAGCGAUUCUAUGAAGGAACCAUGGCGCUGCAACGCCAGGAUGACAUCAGCAAGACUUGAGGGUGGCACUGCGACGCGAGCACAAGGCUUGGCAUUGGCGCCGCGGCGCGGGUACAUGUCAAAUCCCCGUUUUUCCCUUGAAAGCAUGGGAAAGACCUAAUAAGCCCUGCAUUGCAUCGGUUUAAGCAUAAUAACACUAUAAUCAUAUAAAACUAUAUAAAAUCUACGAGAUCAUGCAACUAUUUAAGUCAAAAAGUAUCUGAUUCGUGGGUAUAAAUCCCACUAAUCAACAACUUCUUAGUAUAAAGAACUCUACAAUAAAAUAGAGUAGCUGAGAGAAAGAAUAAAACAUUGAUAAAAGCAGGAAGAAUAUUUCUAGCAGCAACCCAUCUCCCUGAUUACUUUUGGGCAAAUGUUGUCUAAACUACUUGCUACAUACAGAAUCGAUUCUUAAUUCACUAUACGCUCAAGAAUACACCCAACGAAUUAUAGAAGGGAAGAAAUCCAAACAUCAGUUACUUCCAUGUGUUUGGUUGUGCGUUCUAAAAAAAUUCAUAAUUUUUAAUGAGUCAUUUCAAUUUUGAGUUUGAACUUGUCUCAAAUUGACUUUCAAAAAUUUUAUAAUGAUCAUAGAGUAUAAUGAUAAUAAAAAGUAUGUUUUGUGGCAUAAAGAGAGUGAAUUUUAUGAAAAAGGGACGAGUUUAUCGAAUGGCAGAGGUCCUUACCAGAUGUGAUGUGCUUUAUGAUAUGAAGAUGUCAUAUUAGUAAAAUAAAUUUAUUGAACUGCUUGUAAUUAUAUAUAUUUUAAUGUCCUCGCUUUUAUUUUAUUCAAAAUUGAUCAUAACACAUUGUUACCCCAACAGGUGGUCUUAAGUAUUACAUUGUGUUAUAAGAAAUGUUAUUAAGGUUUAAAACUUGUAGUUUAACAAAUAAUUUCCAAUGGAAAGCGCUUUCAGAUUUUUCAUUAUCAAUGAGAGAGAGAGAGAGAUCAUUAUAGGCCACAGUUCUUUGGGACCUCAUCAUCUCUAGAUGUAAAUGGGGACUACUAAGGGUGAAAACAUAAUUGGUUUGGGUGGUUUGAAAAUGUACAGUCACAUCCUUCCAAGAAUCUAAUAUCCCACUUCGAUACAUUCUAGUAGAGGUCGAGUCAGAUGAACUUCUAGCCGACGAGUCCUUACAAAUUUCGGUAAUUGAUGAGUAACCUUGUCAUAAUGAAGUGGAAAAACUUCACUUGACAUAACUAUGGAAAGUAACGGCUUUCUAUUGCUGCAUUUCAAGGUCCGAACAUUGCCACCAACAUUGGUCCUCUGCUGGAGCUUGUUAAGGAAAAUGAACCAAAUUAUAAAACUAUAAGCCAUGAGGAUUUCUUAACAUUGGUCUUUAAUAGGAAACUGGAUAGUAAAAAGCAUCUUGGAUCAUUUGAUGAUUAAUAAGUGAGAAGAAAGUGGUAAUCUUGUUCACAACAUAAACUUGCUAUAUUCGAGUUAUUCAAAUGACAUGCAUGAGCAAGAAAUGCGAGCAAAUCUUGUUUCUUCCAAGUUCCAACAACAGUUGUCUCGAUAACUUUCAAAAUUAAUGUUAAAAGCAAUAACUUUUUUUUUUAUAAUUUUCAUCUCCAUAUUUAAUCUAGCUUUUCUACCACCUUUUUAACUACUACCAAACAAGAUCUUAAAAAUGAAAAAAAAAGGGUAAAAACUUUAAAAGGUUGUAAAUCAACCAGCAAAACCUCAGGAUGAAUUGUGAUUAUUAUUAUCAAAAGUAUAUAUUUGAAAAAACUUUUUACACUAAUUCUCAUGAAAAAUAUAUAAUGAUCGAGGGAGGCAUCAGUUCUCCUAGGUGAGUCUCAUUAAGGAAAAUUCAGACGCAAAUUACCCAUUUUGUUAAUAAGGAUUCAUCUUCUGCCCACUUUCUAAUUGAAAUAAAAUUUCAAACUCACCCUGCACCCCCCCUCACCCCGCACCCAACCNNNNNNNNNNNNNNNNNNNNNNNNNNNNNNNNNNNNNNNNNNNNNNNNNNNNNNNNNNNNNNNNNNNNNNNNNNNNNNNNNNNNNNNNNNNNNNNNNNNNACCCACCCCUGCCCAUUCUCUAUUUUGUUGUUUCUAUAAAUGUUUUAUACUUGCUGAGCAUUUUUAUUCACACUUGCUUAAAAUUAAAUAUUUUCUACUAAAACCGAGCAGGCCGAAGGUGUCGGAAAGAAAGAUAAAGGAAAAUGAAAAGUUCCCAAGCAGAGAAUUAUAUAUAAUAGUUUUAUAUACUAUGAAUGAUGUAAUGCUAAGAGUUAUGUAAUAUUUAUUAUUAUGAUGUUUUAAAGAUAUAAAGGUCUUAGAACUUAAGAUAGAUGGUGACAUUUUAUAAUGUGGUAAUUAUAAAAAUGUCUUUAAACUUAUAUAGAUAGAUGUGUGUGGAUGUUGUAGUACCAUGUAGUAUCAUAUCCAGGGUUUAAAGGAACACGAAUUUGGGGGUGUGACAAUUUUGUUUUUAUAUCUUAAUAUUUUGGAAUUUUUUCAUAUUUUAUUUAUUAUUUAAUUAUUUUUAAAGAUAAAUUUUUCAUUUUUAAAAAAUCUCUAAGUUAAUUUUUUGUACAUAUUUUUUAUGAUUAAGAUUUUAUUAUAUUUUUUUGAGUUAUGUGUUCAAAAUUUCUUAUUGAAAUAAAGAAAAUUUUGUGCUAAUAAUUAUGCAUUAAACAUGAACUUUUUUUUUACUUUCAAUGUAAAAUAUUUUGAGAUUUUUUCAUUCGAGUGGCCUACAACCAAUGCAAUAUAAUAUAAUAAAAUAUUUUUCUUAAAACUUAAACUCAAUUAUAUACUAUAUAAAUAUUUUAUUUUAUUUUAACAAUAAAUUGAGGAAUGGUGGUGAUGGACUCAUUAAAUACUAUAACAUACUAAUUUAUUGUAAGGGUGGUCCAAUAGAUUGAGACAUCUAAUAUACCAAGUUGACGGGAACCCUAAUGAUUAUUGGGGUAUUUUAUCACUAAUAAACAUGAUUCCACGAUAAUAUAUAUGUACAUGUAGAUUGGUUAGUUUUUGACCUCAUGUAGGUCAUUUUUGACUUAAAGUAGGAGAAGUAAUACUACAGGAACAAUAAUUUUUGUGAACAAGGAAAAAAAGGACAAAAAAAGAUGAACUAAAUUGUCUAUUUAGGUAAAGUAUAAAUAUAUAAUACUUAAAGCAUCUACACCCCAUGCAAAGUACGAAGUCUUAUUAUAAGGUUAUGAUAUUUUAAAUAUUUUAUUUUUUUAUAAAUAUAUUAUUUGAUUUAUUAAGUAAAAUGACUCUAGUAUGAAAAUACCUUUCUUAUAAAAUUAUGCUUACUCCGUCCUCAAAAGGAUGACUAAAGAUGCAAAGAUGAUCUUAUGAUUGUUUACUUGUAAACUACAUUACUAACUUUUAUUUUUGACUCGGUUAAACUGAACAAAAGGUUUUCCUAUACAAUAUAAUAUUAUUGAUAUUUUGAAUUUUGCUUUUACAAAUUCUUAUUGGAUAGAGAGUAAUUAUUAUUAUUUUUAUUUAAUAAUUAAAUCAUAUGGUCGAUUAGUAUAUAUAUAUAUAUAUAUAUAUAUAUAUAUAUAUAUAUAUAUAUAUAUAUAUAUUAUAUUUUAAUAAUAAUAAUAAUAUCUAAAUAAUUAUUAAAUCUUUCUUAUAGUCUAAACUAUAAUUAUAUUUAUAUAUUAAUGGUAGUACCAAAUUCAAGUUAGGUAGAUGAUUCUUAUGCUAAUUUUAUUUUCUUCUCAAACUAUAUUAUACUAGGUGAUAGCUCGUGUAAUGCACGAUCUAGUUUGAGUAAUAGAUUGUAUAAUUUGUUAAAAAAAAAUUGUGAUGAAUAUUUAUUUUUUUUAUAAUAAGUUAUAUGCAUGUAGAAUACAUAAAAAUCAAAAUUAUAGUCUAAACAUUUUUUAAAUAUAAUAAACUGAAACUAAAAAACAUCAUGACAUUCAAAAUGAAAACAAUAACGGCCAUUACUGCAACAUUGAGUUGCUAAACAAUCAAUAAAGAAGGUAAAGAACCUCAUAGAGUUCAACUGGAGGAGAAGAUUCUCAGAACUUCAAAGAAGAGGGGUCACCACUUUGUUCACAAAAUUUGAGUUGCUCUCAUCCCGCAGUUUUUACCAUCCAAAACCCCUAUUUUCACACACCAAAUAAAAAAAUCCAUCAUAAAAAAAGUUAAAUAGAAACACAUCUCACAAUUUAAAAAAAAAAAAAGCAACUUCAAGAAAACAUAAUAGAUACCCACAUAAAAAUUCUCUCAAAUCAAAACUAUUUUUAGUGAAGAAACUGACCUCAGUGUACAAAGAUGUCAAGGAAUUGAUAUAUUGUCUCUGCAACUGAUUCCUAGUACUAUUACACCGGAAGCAUAGUUGACACCCUGCAGAAUUACAGGUCCCCUAGUGGUUGGAGCCAAAUAUGGAGGAGCAAAAUCUUUAAAACCCGCUUGUUGUCCUGGUGUAACAAAAAAUAAUAAACAAACAUAUAAUGAUUUUUGUUGUUAUUGCUAAACAGACGUAUAACAGAUUUUGUCAGAGUUUGUCACAUAAACUCAACUACUCAAGUAUUGUUCUGCCAUUAGCAUAAAUUUUUUCUGCUGAACAAAUGCCCAACCAAAUAAAGACUGUCAAAACUUAAAGCAAAACACCAACAAUAACUCUUUUUAAUGAUAGAUUAGCCAUUACAAUCAAUGUGUACGAGAAAAAACAAUUAUGGGUAUGCUUUACCAAUACAUAAUCUACAUGAAAAAACUAAGUAAUGAAAAUUUUCCCCUUCCUCACAAUUGAAGGAUGAGGAAGAGGAGGAAUCUCUACAAUUUAACAGAGUUCAACAAAUGUUCUACUGAAGAUUUAAUAUUGUUAAAUGAAAAAUCAAAGUUUUAGAUACCAAGUAAAAAAUAUUUUCAAACAUUGAUCAAAGACUUACUACUUCACAGACAUCUGUUAAAUAUAUUAUUAAAUAUAUCACAUAAAAUUCUUCUAUAAAGGAAAUUAUAUUCGCACAUCAACAACAUUUCUUUAAUCCAUAGCAACCACCUUAAGCACAUCAUAAACUCUACAACAACUAUUUACGAAAAACAAAAUCCCACUAAACAACUUAAAUGCAACUAUUCGAAGCAAAGUGUAUAUAUAUAAGUGAGUUUAAAAAUGGAAAAUUAACCUUAGAUAGUUGAAGCUCAAAGUAGUGAAGUUGUGAACCAUUUUGAUCAAAUCGGAGUGGCAGGAAUCCAGCUUCGGAGCAGAACCGAGCCACAACAGGAAGAGACGGAGCCUCAGGGGAUAGCUCAGUAAUGGUAGCUACAAUGAACUCCUGCUGUUUCUAUUUUUGGUCUCGAGGAACCUCUCAAAUAUAAUAAAAUGAAACUAAAAAACUUCAUAUAAUUCAAAUUGAGAACAAUAACAAUCAUUACUGCAACAUAGAAUUGGUAAAAAAUCCAAAAAAAAGCUAAAGAACCCUAACAGAGUAAUGUUCAAGUGGAGGAGCAGAUUCUCAGAACUUCAAAGAAGAGGGUCACCACUUCGUUCAUAAAAUUUAGGUUGCUCUCGUACCGCAGUAUCUAAAGCUGCGAAAAUUCCAAUACCCCUAUUUUCACACCCAAAUAAAAAAAAUCCAUCAUAAAAAAAGUUAAAUAGAAACACAUCUCACAAUUUUGAAAAAAACAACUUUAAGAAAACAUCACAAAUACCCACAUAAAAAUUCUCUCAAAUCAGAACUAUUUUUAUUGAAAAAUUUGACCUUAUUAUGCAGAGAAAUUAAUGCCAUGGAAUGUAUGCAAAGAAAUUAACAGGUAAUAAUCAUCAAACAACACAAAUUGCAAUGAAAAAAGGAAAAAUCGCAAAAAAAUCAUAUCAAGCUCUUCAUUCAGGACUUCUAUCAAGCACUUACUGAGCAAAAGCUUCUCAGUUCUUCAGCUCAGCACAAUUACAAAUUAUGUGGUAUAUUAGAUUGAUUAAAUUGAUGAGAAGAAAAGUGGGUACCUUUACAAAAAUUGGGGAUUGGAGAAGUUUCUCAAUUCGAAACCAACGAUUUGGAUCAACUAGGUUUGAACGGAUAAACAAGAUCUCUCUUAACACCGCAAAUGAGUUGGUCGAUUGAAUAGAGAGUCGGCAUGAGGGAGGAAUAUAGAUUUGAGAGAACUAAAGGGAGGAGAAGGAACCUGAAGAGGAUGGACAGACGGAUUCAACGAAUUCGAAAGACAAAACUUUAAAGCUAUCGAUUGGGAAAGCCAACCGAGAAAAAUGAAUCGUUUAAUUGACAUUGAACCAAACUCGGUAAAUAACUCACAAAAUUGAACGAAGUUGACUCAAAUUAAUUAAGAGUGGAUUCUAAAUUGGGAU
Molecule: long non-coding RNA, 6626 nt
Filed under: Panax ginseng (ginseng)
Lineage: Eukaryota; Viridiplantae; Streptophyta; Magnoliopsida; Apiales; Araliaceae
Description: long non-coding RNA (PGIN_LNC001387)
Source: RNAcentral